CUAACUCAUCUGGGAACUGUUUCUCUGUUCUGUUCCCAGGUGAUGAUAAAACGAUGUGAUCGGCCAUAAAAACUCUGUACCCUGGCUGUUCGAGGCCACACUCUGAUCAAGAGUGUUGGUCCCGAUCGGUCGGCCUUGCCUCUCAUUGCAAUAAACUUUGUUGUGACUGUCACUGGUGCCCAUAGCAUUCUGUUUCAGGAGUCGUGUGGAUGCAACAUUCAGUGCAUUGGCCGGGAAAGUGAAAGGUCUGAAACAGGGCCCUUUCCUCGGACUGCUCCGCCGACCCCUGGGAGGAGGCUUGGGAUUGGGAGAGGUAAGGAAUUCUUGGAGCACGCCAUUUGAAUGACUCAGGAGGGUCUGCUGGACGCGGCUAUAGACCCAGAGUCAGGGAUCCUACCGGGACGCCGGUGGGCCCCAUUUGGUUUGGUUUUUGUCAAGAGGGAUCCUAUUUUCAGGUGGCUGCCACGGCCUACUGGCCUUGAGAUCUCGAACUUGUGUUUUCUUCGUGUCUUAAUUGUCUUCUUCCUGUUGACUGUCUGUGCGUCCUUGUCAGUUCUGCCUAUCUUUGUCAUGGGUCAAAAUCAGAGCACCCCCACCCCUCUGAGUCUCAUACUAACCCAUUUCCAGGACUAUAAAAAAGCUGCCUCAGUGUUUGGCCUCCACGUUAAGAAGCCAGUCCUUCGAACUCUCUGCGAGGUGGAAUGGACCAGCUUUCAGGUCGAAUGGCCUCCACAGGGGACCUUUGACCUUACUUUGGUAUAUAAGGUUCAUGAUAUUGUGUUUUCUAGGCACGAAGACCAAAUCCCAUACAUUGGAGUGUGGAGAACCCUCAUUGAAAACCCUCCAGAUUGGUUAAAACUUCUCCUUCCCCUUCGCCCUCGCCUCCCUAAAGUACAGGCUUUGCUGCUCAAAGGCCGCCCAUUUGGAGCUCAGAAUAAGAAUCUUGAUGGGACUAAGCAGCCACCCCCUCUAUCAUCUGCACCGGAGGAAGAAAAAGAAACUUAACCACUCGCCGCCCUAUAGUUCUCGCCCAAAGAAUAUGGGUCAAGAUGCUUCAGAUCAGGAGGCAAGCCCGAGUCGGGACACUCCCCUGAGCCCGUCUCACACCUGGUCAGGGACUCCCUUCCAUCCCCCUCCCGCUGCCCGACCCCUUCGUCCAAGGCCACCCCUGCAGGGUGAUGUCCGACCCUUUAUGACUUAUGUACCCUUCUCCACUAGCGACCUUUACAAUUGGAAGCUUCGAAACCCCUCGUUCUCAGAGAAACCCCAAGCAUUAAUUUCUCUCCUUGAAACUAUAUUUGUGACCCAUCAGCCAACCUGGGAUGACUGCCAGCAGCUGUUGCAAGUUCUCUUCACCACUGAGGAGCGAGAUAAGAUCCGUCACGAGGCUCAGAAAUUAGUGAUGGGACCAAACGGGCAACCCACUGAGGAUCCCGCUGUAGUCGAGGAAGUCUUUUCCUGAAAAUUGGGACCCAAACACUCCUCACGGUAGGCGAUCAUUGACCCUAUUUCACCAGACUCUACUGGGAGGUCUCCGAGCGGCCGCCUGCCGGCCCACAAACAUGUCUAAGGUAACAGAAGUCAUUCAGGGGACCGAGGAAAGCCCCUCGGUCUUCUUAGAAAGGCUCAUGGAGGCGUACCGCACCAUUACCCCUGUAGGCCCUGAGGCACCUGAAAACAGAAGGGCAUUAAAUCUGGCCUUUGUCUCACAGGCAGCCCCAGACAUUCGGAAAAAGUUAUAAAACUUUGAUGGGUUGAAAGGAAAAAAUUUAUCUGAGUUAGUUGAAAUAGCCCAAAACCUUUUUAACAGUAGGGAUUCUCAGGAAGAAAGACAGACACAAAAAUUGACUAGGGUGGUAACGCCCGUCCUGGAUGCCCGAGAGGGAAGAGGACCCCAAACGCCCAAAGAAUUCUGGUCUGGGCAAAAGAAAAAAGACAGACAAAGGGUUAGAGCGCCACUAGGAAAAAACCAAUGUGCAUAUUGCAAACAAGAGGGACACUGGAAGAAGGAUUGCCCCAACUUAGCCCAACGCAAAACUCGGCCACCCCUGGCGUCGAUAAUGAAAGUUGAUUCCGACUGACGGGACCACGGCUCAGUGGCCCCUUCUGAGCCUUUGGUUACUGUUAAUAUAGGGGGCCAGCCUAAGACUUUCUUGGUGGACAUUGGGGCAGCCUUUUCAGCUCUAAAACAAGAUCCUGGUCCCACCAGGCGAGGAGCAACGCUGGUGCAAGGAGCGACUGGGUCCCAGACUUGUAAAUGGACCACUGAACGACAAGUAGAUUUCGGCCGUAAAACUAUCACACGUUCUUUCCCAAUCAUGCCUGAAUGCCCCUGCCCUGGAUUACUAGGUAGAGACCUACUACAUUAACCAACGGCUUCUUUGAAAUUCACUAAAGGGGUUACGCAUAUUAAAGUCAGCCAGGAUGGCCCGACAACCGUAAUGGUGACUGUGCCACUUGGGGGAGAGGACCUGCUCGCUCUGGUGCCUAAUGAAAGUGUCCAUGCAGUCGAUCCCCUCCUCAAAAGCCUCCAGGCGGGCUUCCCCCAGGUAUGAGCUGAGACCAAUCCACCCGGGGCUGGCGAUUCAUCAAGCUCCGAUAAUAGUGGAACUUAAGGCAUCCGUGCUUCGGGUAAGACUAAUAUCCCACGUCCCGGGAGGCUAGGCGGGGAAUCGCCGUUCACAUCAAGUGUUUGCGCGACUCCGGCAUUUUGAUCCCAUGCAAGUCGCCAUGGAACAUUCCGCUUCUCCCUGUCCGGAAGCCUAACUCAUCCGAUUUCCGGCCAGUUCAGGACCUAAGAGCAGUAAACGCCAGGGUAAUGGACAUUCAUCCCACUGUACCCAACCCUCAUACUCUCUUAGUUUGCUUCCCCCUUCUCAGGUGUAUUAUAUACAGUUCUGGACUUAAAAGAUGCCUUCUUUGCCAUCCCGCUGGCCCCACAAAGCCAGCCACUAUUUGCAUUUGGAUGGACUGAUCCUGAAGAGGGAAAAGCCGGACAGCUCACCUGGACGCGACUCCCCCAGGGAUUUAAAAAUUCUACUCUUUUUAAUGAGGCCCUGCACCAGGAUUUAGAGCCAUUUCGAAUCUCCAACCCGCAGGUAACUCUAUUGCAAUAUGUUGAUGAGAUCUUGUUGGCUGCCCCCUCUCAUUUAGGAUGCCUGAAGUGCCACCGAAGGACUCUUGAGUCUUCUGCGAAAACUGGGGUACCGAGUGUCACCCAGAAAAGCGCAGAUCUGUCGUGCUGCGGUGACCUAUUUAGGUGACAACCUUAAAUAAGGUAAGCGCUAUCUCGGUGAACAAAGAAUUCGGGCUAUACUCGAUAUUCCUCAGCCUAGAACUUGCAAACAAGUCCGCGAGUUCCUUGGGGCGGCAGGCCACUGCAGACUAUGGAUACCUGGCUUUGCUGAACAGGCAGCCCCUUUGUAUGCCGCUCUCAAGGGGCCUCCGGAGUCCUUCACAUGGGGGGAGACUCAAACUAAAGCCUUCCAGGCCUUACGAGAUGCUCUCACGACCCCACCGGCCUGGGCCCUGCCAGAUCCCACCAAGCCAUUCCAUUUGUUUGUAGCCGAAAAAGGGGGGGGGGGUAGCCAAAGGAGUUCUGACUCAGCGCCUGGGAACUUGGCACCAACCGGUGGCCUAUUUAUCCAAACAGCUGGACCCAGUUGCUUCCGGGUGGCCCCCACGCAUUCGACAAAUUGCUGCCACCGCGCUCCUAGUUAAAGCCGCAAACUAACCUUGGGGCAGGCAUUGUCUGUCACGGGGCCCCAUGAAGUGGAGGCUUUACUGAGGGCUCCCCCAGAGCGAUGGCUGUCAAAUGCUCGGAUUACCCAAUAUCAAGCAUUGCUACUCGACCGGCCCCGAAUACGUCUUUGUGCCCCCGCGGCCUUAAACCCAGCCACCUUGCUGCCCAAAGGACAAGGUCCCCCUCUGCACUCUUGCCCAGAAACCUUGGCGAUGAUCUCGUCCCUCCGCUCCGAUCUUACGGACGUUCCCUUACAGGACCCUGAUAUCAACAGGACCCUGAUAUCAGCAUGUUUUCAGGAGGCAGUGGUUGUGUGUUUCAAGGGCAAAGGCGUGCCUGCGCUGCAGCGAUGACAGACCGCGAGGUUCUAUGGCAACAGACCCUUCCCCCCGGGGAACUUCAGCCCAGCGCGCAGAGCUCAUCGCGCUAACAAAAGCCCUAAAACUCGAAAGAAACAAGGCAGUUAAUAUUUAUACGGACCGCCGCUAUGCUUUUGCCCCCACCCAUGUGCACGGAUCCAUUUAUCAAGAGCGCAGCCUCCUCACGACGGAAGGCAAGGCCGUCAAAAACAAAGCUAAAAUUUUAGACCUUCUGGCAACCGUCUGGGAACCUGCAAAACUGGCGAUCAUUCGAUCAUUCACUGCCGGGGACAUCAAAAAGGCGACUCCCUAGAGGCAGUCGGAAACCGCCUGGCUGAUGCAGCAGCCCGAGAAGCUGCCCUAACUAAAAGUGAAAGUGCCUUGCAGCUACCGAUCUAGCCCAGUUGCACUCCUAAAGAUUUGGAGUGGGUUUCCAGAAAAGGGGGGAAGGAAGAUGCCGGGACAAAAGUGGUUUCAGGAUCCUGAAGGAGACUUAGUCUGGGUCAAGAGGCACGAGCCUAAAACCCUGGAGCCACGCCGGAAAGGACUGCACACUGUGAUCCUGACUACACCCGUGGCUGUGAAGAUAGACAGUGUCCGAACCUGGAUUCAUCAUUCUCAGGUCAAGAAAAACUGUGUGAAGGUGGGAACACCCCAGACUGAUACGGAACCAGAUAACGAACACAAUGGAAAGUCCGAAGGCACCCAGAGGAUCCUUUAAAGCUAAGACUCAUGCAGGCAUAAUAAUAAUAAUUGUCUGGGUUUGUAUAAUGGUAAGCGUGGAGGACUGUACAGAAUUGCAUCCCCUAUCUUUUUGGCCAUACCAAGGGGAACUCAGGGACACUGUCACAGGGUAGGUGAUAGCAUCUAAUACCUCUUCCUUGUGCCUUGUUUUUUGUUUGAUUUAUGCGACUUGGUGGGGGACUCAUGGGGGACUUUAAUUACUAAUUAUAAACAGCCAACGGGCUUUGCUCCUCUGGUCCCCAAAAACCCCUAUAUGGUUACGUAUGGAUGUGGACACAGGGAUCAAGAACAAAAAUUGGCUGACAUACCAGGGUUAUACAGUUGCCCUGCAAAUAGAAACGUCGAAUGCGAAGGAAAAGGCCAAUACCAUUGUGCAAAAUGGGGUUAUGAAACGCUGGCUCCCUGGCUGGCGGGACAGGGCCAUGACCCUUCUUAACCACCCUCCUUAGAACUCCAGAUCCCAAAUGUAAGACCCAAGGAAAAUGCAACCCAACAAAAAUAUGUUUAAAAAAGGUUUCUAGUUCCCGUACCUUUUCCUCUUCCUGGGACACUGGAUACGCUUGGGGUCUCAGGAUGUCCGCUCCAAGAGUUGACAAAGGCAUUUCCUUUACUAUACAAAGGGUUAAAAAAAAAAAAAAAACUCCAUUCAAUCCGGUAGAGCCAAACAAGGACAUGAUUUUACACCC
Molecule: long non-coding RNA, 5531 nt
Organism: Herpailurus yagouaroundi (jaguarundi)
Lineage: Eukaryota; Metazoa; Chordata; Mammalia; Carnivora; Felidae
Exons: 2
Source: RefSeq, a predicted model, not a curated record